UCUGGCUCAGAAUGAACGCUAUUAAUAUGCUUUACACAUGCAAGUUGAAUGAUUUUUAAACAAUCAUAGCGAACGGGUGUAGAAAAUACGGGAAUCUGCCUUAUAAUCCGGAAUAAUUAUACUGUAUUAACGGGAAUUGCUUUUUUUAACUUAUUAAAAAAGUAAGUAAAAAUACCGGAUAAAUUAAAAAAGAAUCUUUUCUGUUAUAAGAUGAGCCCGUAUAGGAUUUAGGUAGUUGGUAAGGUAAAGGCUUACCAAGCCUAUGAUCCUUAGCUGGUCUGAAAGGAUGUACAGCCACACUGGGACUGAGACACGGCCCAGACUCCGUUAGGAGGCAGCAGUGAGGAAUAUUGGACAAUGAGCGAAAGCUUGAUCCAGCAAUAUUAAAAAAAAGGAAGACGGCUACAUUAUUCAGGUCUUAAACUUUUGUUCGUUUCAAAAAGGAAUAUGACAGUAUUUGAAUGAAAGCCCGGCUAACCUCGUG
Molecule: ribosomal RNA, 484 nt
Filed under: uncultured bacterium
Lineage: Bacteria
Description: partial 16S ribosomal RNA
Rfam family: Bacterial small subunit ribosomal RNA
Source: RNAcentral